Molecule: ribosomal RNA, 481 nt
Filed under: uncultured bacterium
Lineage: Bacteria
Description: partial 16S ribosomal RNA
Rfam family: Bacterial small subunit ribosomal RNA
Source: RNAcentral
UUGAACGCUGGCGGCAUGCUUUACACCUGCAAGUCGAACGGUAACAGCACUUCGGUGGCUGACGAGUGGCGAACGGGUGAGUAAUACAUCGGAACGUGCCUAGUAGUGGGGGAUAACUACUCGAAAGAGUAGCUAAUACCGCAUGAGAUCUAAGGAUGAAAGCAGGGGACCUUCGGGCCUUGCGCUACUAGAGCGGCUGAUGGCAGAUUAGGUAGUUGGUGGGAUAAAAGCUUACCAAGCCGACGAUCUGUAGCUGGUCUGAGAGGACGACCAGCCACACUGGGACUGAGACACGGCCCAGACUCCUACGGGAGGCAGCAGUGGGGAAUUUUGGACAAUGGGCGCAAGCCUGAUCCAGCAAUGCCGCGUGCAGGAUGAAGGCCUUCGGGUUGUAAACUGCUUUUGUACGGAACGAAAAGCCCUCUUCUAAUACAGGAGGGUCAUGACGGUACCGUAAGAAUAAGCACCGGCUAACUACGUG